Long non-coding RNA from Suricata suricatta (meerkat), 211 nucleotides. RefSeq lists it as uncharacterized. The transcript has 3 exons. The record is from RefSeq and is a predicted model, not a curated record. Lineage: Eukaryota; Metazoa; Chordata; Mammalia; Carnivora; Herpestidae.
GAUAGAGUAGCUAACAUGCAGUAAAAUACAGACAAUGAUAGCACCUAUCUCGGAGGACUGUAAUGAGGAUUACACAUAAUAAUCACAGAUUACAAGUUGAUCUGGCACAUAGAAAGCAUCAAAUAAAGGAUGAUGUUACAUAACAACAACAACAAAAUACCAUAGCACAUUGAGAGAAGGAAUGUGCAAGAAGAGAGACAGCUAACAGCAC